AUGGACGCAAGUCUGAUGGAGCAACGCCGCGUGAGUGAAGAAGGUUUUCGGAUCGUAAAGCUCUGUUGUUGGUGAAGAAGGAUAGAGGUAGUAACUGGCCUUUAUUUGACGGUAAUCAACCAGAAAGUCACGGCUAACUACGUGCCAGCAGCCGCGGUAAUACGUAGGUGGCAAGCGUUGUCCGGAUUUAUUGGGCGUAAAGCGAGCGCAGGCGGAAAAAUAAGUCUAAUGAGAAAGCCCUCGGCUUAACCGAGGAACUGCAUCGGAAACUGUUUUUCUUGAGUGCAGAAGAGGAGAGUGGAACUCCAUGUGUAGCGGUGGAAUGCGUAGAUAUAUGGAAGAACACCAGUGGCGAAGGCGGCUCUCUGGUCUGCAACUGACGCUGAGGCUCGAAAGCAUGGGUAGCGAACAGGAUUAGAUACCCUGGUAGUCCAUGCCGUAAACGAUGAGUGCUAAGUGUUGGGAGGUUUCCGCCUCUCAGUGCUGCAGCUAACGCAUUAAGCACUCCGCCUGGGGAGUACGACCGCAAGGUUGAAACUCAAAGGAAUUGACGGGGGCCCGCACAAGCGGUGGAGCAUGUGGUUUAAUUCGAAGCAACGCGAAGAACCUUACCAGGUCUUGACAUCUAGUGCCAUCUUCAG
This 641-nucleotide ribosomal RNA is filed under the name Lactobacillus sp. oral taxon 461. Its description in RNAcentral is "bacterial SSU rRNA". It matches the Rfam family "Bacterial small subunit ribosomal RNA", at positions 371 to 1003 of the family's 1533-position model. The record is from RNAcentral. Lineage: Bacteria; Bacillati; Bacillota; Bacilli; Lactobacillales; Lactobacillaceae.